ACCUUGCUGACGAGUGCCAAAUAGCACGAAAUCUAGGUUCAGGGU
Non-coding RNA from Schistosoma curassoni, 45 nucleotides. Lineage: Eukaryota; Metazoa; Platyhelminthes; Trematoda; Strigeidida; Schistosomatidae. The record is from Rfam.